UAAUUUGAGAGUUUGAUCCUGGCUCAGGACGAACGUUGGCGGCGUGCCUAAUACAUGCAAGUCGAACGAACUCUGGUAUUGAUUGGUGCUUGCAUCAUGAUUUACAUUUGAGUGAGUGGCGAACUGGUGAGUAACACGUGGGAAACCUGCCCAGAAGCGGGGGAUAACACCUGGAAACAGAUGCUAAUACCGCAUAACAACUUGGACCGCAUGGUCCGAGUUUGAAAGAUGGCUUCGGCUAUCACUUUUGGAUGGUCCCGCGGCGUAUUAGCUAGAUGGUGGGGUAACGGCUCACCAUGGCAAUGAUACGUAGCCGACCUGAGAGGGUAAUCGGCCACAUUGGGACUGAGACACGGCCCAAACUCCUACGGGAGGCAGCAGUAGGGAAUCUUCCACAAUGGACGAAAGUCUGAUGGAGCAACGCCGCGUGAGUGAAGAAGGGUUUCGGCUCGUAAAACUCUGUUGUUAAAGAAGAACAUAUCUGAGAGUAACUGUUCAGGUAUUGACGGUAUUUAACCAGAAAGCCACGGCUAACUACGUGCCAGCAGCCGCGGUAAUACGUAGGUGGCAAGCGUUGUCCGGAUUUAUUGGGCGUAAAGCGAGCGCAGGCGGUUUUUUAAGUCUGAUGUGAAAGCCUUCGGCUCAACCGAAGAAGUGCAUCGGAAACUGGGAAACUUGAGUGCAGAAGAGGACAGUGGAACUCCAUGUGUAGCGGUGAAAUGCGUAGAUAUAUGGAAGAACACCAGUGGCGAAGGCGGCUGUCUGGUCUGUAACUGACGCUGAGGCUCGAAAGUAUGGGUAGCAAACAGGAUUAGAUACCCUGGUAGUCCAUACCGUAAACGAUGAAUGCUAAGUGUUGGAGGGUUUCCGCCCUUCAGUGCUGCAGCUAACGCAUUAAGCAUUCCGCCUGGGGAGUACGGCCGCAAGGCUGAAACUCAAAGGAAUUGACGGGGGCCCGCACAAGCGGUGGAGCAUGUGGUUUAAUUCGAAGCUACGCGAAGAACCUUACCAGGUCUUGACAUACUAUGCAAAUCUAAGAGAUUAGACGUUCCCUUCGGGGACAUGGAUACAGGUGGUGCAUGGUUGUCGUCAGCUCGUGUCGUGAGAUGUUGGGUUAAGUCCCGCAACGAGCGCAACCCUUAUUAUCAGUUGCCAGCAUUAAGUUGGGCACUCUGGUGAGACUGCCGGUGACAAACCGGAGGAAGGUGGGGAUGACGUCAAAUCAUCAUGCCCCUUAUGACCUGGGCUACACACGUGCUACAAUGGAUGGUACAACGAGUUGCGAACUCGCGAGAGUAAGCUAAUCUCUUAAAGCCAUUCUCAGUUCGGAUUGUAGGCUGCAACUCGCCUACAUGAAGUCGGAAUCGCUAGUAAUCGCGGAUCAGCAUGCCGCGGUGAAUACGUUCCCGGGCCUUGUACACACCGCCCGUCACACCAUGAGAGUUUGUAACACCCAAAGUCGGUGGGGUAACCUUUUAGGAACCAGCCGCCUAAGGUGGGACAGAUGAUUAGGGUGAAGUCGUAACAAGGUAGCCGUAGGAGAACCUGCGGCUGGAUCACCUCCUUU
RNAcentral lists this ribosomal RNA (1567 nucleotides) under Lactiplantibacillus pentosus. RNAcentral's name for it is "16S ribosomal RNA". It matches the Rfam family "Bacterial small subunit ribosomal RNA". The record is from RNAcentral. Lineage: Bacteria; Bacillati; Bacillota; Bacilli; Lactobacillales; Lactobacillaceae.